UUCAUGGGCUGAGAUUAUUUAAGUAGUUGGGUUUAUUUUAAUUAUCUUAUGGGCUGCAUAUUUCAUUUUAAAUAAGUUGGACUUACUUUAUAAAUAUCAACCCACUUUUUCGAAAAUAUAUUUUACUACUUAAAUUCAUUAGAUCAAUUAUUUUUACAUGAUUCUAUAAUUUAAAUUAUUUUCUAAGCUCAAUUAGGCCCUUAUAUUCUAUUAUUUGAAUUUAUCUGAUUAGGUGCGGCGCGACUAGGACGUUACUUUUAUUUGAUUUACUCAAGUUAGCAUACAAGUUCAAGUUCAAGUUUCAGGUGUGGGAUUUAUUUCAGUACAUGCCGUGGUUAAUUGUUGUCCAUUUUAAUAUUAUGUGUUUGCCAUAUGUGUUGUAAAUUCAGUUAUAUCGCUAGGGGCCCGCUCAAUGGGUCCAGGACUUCACAGUCCUUGGUAUGCCACAAUGCGAUUUCAUGUUAAAGUUAUGGUUGCAACCAGUCGCCAGGGGCCGGCUCAAUCGGUCCAGGACAGAAAGGUCCUUGGUAUGCCACAGUGCGACUUUCAGUCACGAAUGUUUUAAAGGCCGGAGGCACGUGGAAGGUCGAAUGGCGAGUCAAAUAUUUUGAAUUCAGUUUUUCUUAAAAAUGUUAUUUUGAGUAAAGUAUGUUUAAAUAAAUAUUUAUUUCACUAUUUUCUUGUUAAAUAUUUAUUUAUAGUCAUGAUUUUUCCGCGUGCGUUUUCAUGUAAAUUUAAAAUGGAU
Molecule: long non-coding RNA, 745 nt
Organism: Salvia miltiorrhiza (redroot sage)
Lineage: Eukaryota; Viridiplantae; Streptophyta; Magnoliopsida; Lamiales; Lamiaceae
Exons: 2
Source: RefSeq, a predicted model, not a curated record